GACGAACGCUGGCGGCGUGCCUAAUACAUGCAAGUAGAACGCUGAAGGAGGAGCUUGCUUCUCUGGAUGAGUUGCGAACGGGUGAGUAACGCGUAGGUAACCUGCCUGGUAGCGGGGGAUAACUAUUGGAAACGAUAGCUAAUACCGCAUAAGAGUAGAUGUUCAUGACAUUUGCUUAAAAGGUGCAAUUGCAUCACUACCAGAUGGACCUGCGUUGUAUUAGCUAGUUGGUGAGGUAACGGCUCACCAAGGCAAUGAUACAUAGCCGACCUGAGAGGGUGAUCGGCCACACUGGGACUGAGACACGGCCCAGACUCCUACGGGAGGCAGCAGUAGGGAAUCUUCGGCAAUGGACGGAAGUCUGACCGAGCAACGCCGCGUGAGUGAAGAAGGUUUUCGGAUCGUAAAGCUCUGUUGUAAGAGAAGAACGAGUGUGAGAGUGGAAAGUUCACACUGUGACGGUAUCUUACCAGAAAGGGACGGCUAACUACGUG
RNAcentral lists this ribosomal RNA (494 nucleotides) under uncultured bacterium. RNAcentral describes it as "partial 16S ribosomal RNA". It matches the Rfam family "Bacterial small subunit ribosomal RNA", at positions 28 to 507 of the family's 1533-position model. The record is from RNAcentral.